Molecule: ribosomal RNA, 253 nt
Filed under: uncultured bacterium
Lineage: Bacteria
Description: partial 16S ribosomal RNA
Rfam family: Bacterial small subunit ribosomal RNA
Source: RNAcentral
UACAGAGGAGCCAAGCGUUGUCCGGAUUGACUGGGCGUAAAGCGCACGCAGGCGGUUGCGCGCGUGGGGUGUGAAAUCUGGCCGCUUAACGGCCAGGCGCCAUCCCAUACGGCGCGACUGGGGGGCUGCAGAGGUCGAUGGAAUUGCCGGUGUAGUGGUGAAAUGCGUAGAGAUCGGCAGGAACACCCAGGGGGAAACCAGUCGACUGGGCAGCACCUGACGCUGAGGUGCGAGAGCGUGGGGAGCGAACCGG